Molecule: ribosomal RNA, 253 nt
Filed under: uncultured bacterium
Lineage: Bacteria
Description: partial 16S ribosomal RNA
Rfam family: Bacterial small subunit ribosomal RNA
Source: RNAcentral
GACAGAGGGUGCAAACGUUGUUCGGAAUUACUGGGCGUAAAGCGAGUGUAGGCGGUUCGGUAAGUCGGAUGUGAAAGCCCCGGGCUCAACCCGGGAAGUGCACUCGAUACUGUCGAGCUAGAGUAUCGGAGAGGUUGGUGGAAUUCUCGGUGUAGAGGUGAAAUUCGUAGAUAUCGAGAGGAACACCGGUGGCGAAGGCGGCCAACUGGACGAAUACUGACGCUGAGACUCGAAAGCGUGGGGAGCAAACAGG